RNAcentral lists this ribosomal RNA (121 nucleotides) under Helianthus annuus (common sunflower). Lineage: Eukaryota; Viridiplantae; Streptophyta; Magnoliopsida; Asterales; Asteraceae. The record is from RNAcentral.
AGUUGCGAUCAUACCAGCACUAAUGCACCAUAUCCCAUCAGAACUCCUCAGUUAAGCGUGCUCGGGCGAGAGUAGUACUAGGAUGGGUGACCCCCUGGGAAGUCUUCGUGUUGCAACCUUC